This 781-nucleotide ribosomal RNA is filed under the name Morchella norvegiensis. RNAcentral's name for it is "partial large subunit ribosomal RNA". It matches the Rfam family "Eukaryotic large subunit ribosomal RNA", at positions 76 to 867 of the family's 3401-position model. The record is from RNAcentral. Lineage: Eukaryota; Fungi; Ascomycota; Pezizomycetes; Pezizales; Morchellaceae.
UGCCUCAGUAACGGCGAGUGAAGCGGCAAAAGCUCAAAUUUUAAAGCUGACAUCUUCGGUGUCCGCGUUGUAAUUUUGUGAGGCAUCUCCGGGUAGGGCGCCGGCCUAAGUUCCUUGGAACAGGACGUCACAGAGGGUGAGAAUCCCGUGCUUGGCUGGCUGUCCCCGUCCAUGUGAGGUGUCUUCGACGAGUCGAGUUGUUUGGGAAUGCAGCUCAAAAUGGGUGGUAAAUUUCAUCUAAAGCUAAAUAUUGGUGGGAGACCGAUAGCGCACAAGUAGAGUGAUCGAAAGAUGAAAAGCACUUUGAAAAUAGAGUUAAAAAGUACGUGAAAUUGUUGAAAGGGAAGCGCUUGAGACCAGACUUCGGUAAGGGGUGAUCAGCCGUCCUUUUGGGCGGUGCACUUGCCCCCCUCCGGGCCAGCAUCGGUUGAGGCGGCGGGAUAAAGGUCCCGGGAAUGUGGCUCCUUCACGGGAGUGUUAUAGCCCGGGUGAAUGCCGCCAGCUUCGACCGAGGACCGCACCCGCAAGGGUUAGGAUGCUUGGCAUAAUGGUCUUCAGCGACCCGUCUUGAAACACGGACCAAGGAGUCUAACAUCUAUGCGAGUGUUUGGGGUGUCAAACCCUUGCGCGAAAUGAAAGUGAACGGGAGGUGGGAACCCGCAAGGGCGCACCAUCGACCGGUCCCGAAGUCUUCUGAAGGAUCUGAGUAGGAGCAUAGCUGUUGGGACCCGAAAGAUGGUGAACUAUGCCNUGAAUAGGGUGAAGCCAGAGGAAACUCUGG